UAUAACCAUUUUUUUGAAAAAAAACUGUCGACUUGAAAUUGAAAUACUGAAAUUGAAAUAUGACCAAUUCAGUAAACUGGAUUGUAAUUACAGAAUUUCAGUAUUUCAAUUUCAGCAACUAACAAUAUAGAACAGAUUGAAUUUAGAAUUCAAUUACAGUGAAUAGAAGAUACAGUACAGACUAACUAUAAGAAUUUCACGAUACAAGGAUGAAAUACACAUUCUAAUUUACAGGUAUAAGAAAUUCAGAAUGAAAUUAAACAAAGAAACAGAUUAAGAAUUGGAAAAUUGAAUCGAAUUUGAGCAGCAAAGAUUAAUCUUCGACCGGAACGCGAUACCUGGAAACGAAAUACAAUUCGACGAUUACUAAGAGAGAACGACAACUAGAACACCGAGAUCAACUGAGGAAAAUCAGAAAAGAAAAAACUUACAAAUGGAAUUAAUUCUGGUGUCUGCUCUUAACUGCUUUUCCGGCCUUUAUUCCUGCUCUGGUUCUGCCCUUUCCUUGAUUGAUUUAUUCGGAUCCCAUAUUUGGGUCUCGGAUCCGAACAUUUAAAUACGGUGGUGCGAUUCGGUGCGCCGGCGAUAUCCGACCGUUGGAUGCACUGGAGUUCUGCCAAUGAAGUUCACGGUGACGAUGAUGUGUGGUUCCUCGUCGUCACUGUCUG
RNAcentral lists this long non-coding RNA (668 nucleotides) under Zostera marina. RNAcentral's name for it is "long non-coding RNA (ZMAR_LNC000198)". The record is from RNAcentral. Lineage: Eukaryota; Viridiplantae; Streptophyta; Magnoliopsida; Alismatales; Zosteraceae.